Non-coding RNA from Schistosoma curassoni, 79 nucleotides. The record is from Rfam. Lineage: Eukaryota; Metazoa; Platyhelminthes; Trematoda; Strigeidida; Schistosomatidae.
AGCCUUCUGUAUCCGUGCUGAGUUUUCGUCACACACCAGACCACAAGGGCUGAUCAGACUUCCAAGACUACAUAAAAAU